GCAAGUCGAACGGUAACAGCAGAGCUUGCUCUGGCUGACGAGUGGCGGACGGGUGAGUAAUGCAUCGGAAUGUACCCAGUAGUGGGGGAUAGCCCGGCGAAAGCCGGAUUAAUACCGCGUACGCACUAUGGUGGAAAGUGGGGGAUCCCUCGGGACCUCACGCUCUUGGAGCAGCCGGUGUCAGAUUAGCUUGUUGGUGGGGUAAAAGCCCACCAAGGCGACGAUCUGUAACUGGUCUGAGAGGACGACC
This 250-nucleotide ribosomal RNA is filed under the name uncultured bacterium. RNAcentral's name for it is "partial 16S ribosomal RNA". It matches the Rfam family "Bacterial small subunit ribosomal RNA", at positions 57 to 305 of the family's 1533-position model. The record is from RNAcentral.